This 512-nucleotide ribosomal RNA is filed under the name uncultured bacterium. RNAcentral's name for it is "bacterial SSU rRNA". It matches the Rfam family "Bacterial small subunit ribosomal RNA", at positions 25 to 518 of the family's 1533-position model. The record is from RNAcentral.
CAGAACGAACGCUGGCGGCGUGCUUAACACAUGCAAGUCGAACGCGAAAGGGACUUCGGUCCUGAGUAAAGUGGCGCACGGGUGAGUAACGCGUAGAUAACCUGUCUUCAUGUCUGGAAUAAUACGCCGAAAGGGGUACUAAUACCGGAUAUUCUUGCUUUUCAUAAGUUAUGCAAGCAAAGGUGGCCUCUGCAUAUGCUACUGCAUGAAGAGGGGUCUGCGUACCAUUAGCUAGUAGGUGGGGUAAUGGCCUACCUAGGCGACGAUGGUUAGCGGGUCUGAGAGGAUGAUCCGCCACACUGGCACUGGAACACGGGCCAGACUCCUACGGGAGGCAGCAGUGAGGAAUAUUGCGCAAUGGGGAAACCCUGACGCAGCGACGCCGCGUGAGUGAGGAAGGCCUUCGGGUCGUAAAGCUCUGUCAAGAGGAAAGAAGUGUACAAUGGCUAAUACCUGUUGUAUUUGACGGUACCUCUAAAGGAAGCACCGGCUAACUCCGUGCCAGCCGCUGC